This is a long non-coding RNA of Callorhinchus milii (elephant shark), 195 nucleotides long. RefSeq lists it as uncharacterized. The transcript has 3 exons. Lineage: Eukaryota; Metazoa; Chordata; Chondrichthyes; Chimaeriformes; Callorhinchidae. The record is from RefSeq and is a predicted model, not a curated record.
AAAGAGAAGCAUUUUGUUCAAAAUUAGCAACAAUACUGACCGAACUAACCUCCCAGCACCUGAAAGUUGAACAUCGAGAAAGUCUAAAACCUGAGCCUCCAGAAAUUGUGAAAGAACGUCGUAAAUCUACACUAUCAACUCAAAGUGAAAUUAUAUCCGAGCCUGAUCCAAACAGUGACACAUUUUAUUCUACUG